AGACUGGACUGAAUCAAAGCAACAUUCUCCUACUUUUCCCGUGUAUAGGAAGUGAUACUAACAAGAAUCAGAUUUGCCUGGACCCGUAACAGAGGAAACAACUUCUGGCACAGUAAUUCUUUGAACUGGAACCAUGAGGGCAAGUACUAACGUAUCCUUCUAUUGCAUGCAAUGCCUUAUGCACCAAAGCAGUUUUUUUGACUGUUGAAACGGACUGAAUCAGAUUUGUGGUACUAAGUUUUUUAGGGUAUGUGAAUAUUUUGAUUUAUUUUGAAAGAUUCUGUGUUCACAAUUCAUCUGGUCAGAGCAGGAGUUUUGAUUUUGAUUCUAUGUAAUUUACUUAUGGAAUGGAUUUAAGACAGAUGUUUAGGAAGAGGUUUUAUAAAUAUUUGCACUUGAUCAGAAGAAGAAGACAACUAAUAAUCCAAGAAUAUUAAUAAUCCAAUAAUGCAAUCUUGUAUUGUUGGAUUAGUAUUUGUUAAGCACC
Molecule: long non-coding RNA, 487 nt
Filed under: Bos taurus (domestic cattle)
Lineage: Eukaryota; Metazoa; Chordata; Mammalia; Artiodactyla; Bovidae
Description: long non-coding RNA NONBTAT019645
Source: RNAcentral